RNAcentral lists this ribosomal RNA (532 nucleotides) under uncultured Planctomycetota bacterium. Its description in RNAcentral is "bacterial SSU rRNA". It matches the Rfam family "Bacterial small subunit ribosomal RNA", at positions 387 to 934 of the family's 1533-position model. The record is from RNAcentral. Lineage: Bacteria; Pseudomonadati; Planctomycetota.
CGGAGCGACGCCGCGUGAUGGAUGAAGGCCUUCGGGUUGUAAACAUCUGUCGUAGGGGAGGAAAUUUUGACCGAUCCUAGGAGGAAGCACAGGCUAAGUUCGUGCCAGCAGCCGCGGUAAUACGAACUGUGCGAACGUUAUUCGGAAUCACUGGGCUUAAAGGGUGCGUAGGCGGAUUGGUAGGUCAGAUGUGAAAGCCCACGGCUCAACCGUGGAAUUGCGUUUGAAACCACCAGUCUUGAGGAAGUCAGAGGUAUGCGGAACUGAUGGUGGAGCGGUGAAAUGUGUUGAUAUCAUCAGGAACACCGGUGGCGAAAGCGGCAUACUGGGACUUUUCUGACGCUGAGGCACGAAAGCUAGGGGAGCGAACGGGAUUAGAUACCCCGGUAGUCCUAGCUGUAAACGAUCUGUACUAGUCCGUGGAAACUUCCACAUUUUCUCGGACGUAGCGAAAGUGUUAAGUACAGCGCCUGGGGAGUAUGGUCGCAAGGCUGAAACUCAAAGGAAUUGACGGGGCUCCUCACACAAAAAA